This 955-nucleotide long non-coding RNA is filed under the name Lathyrus oleraceus (garden pea). RNAcentral describes it as "Pisum sativum (pea) long non-coding RNA (PSAT_LNC021630)". Lineage: Eukaryota; Viridiplantae; Streptophyta; Magnoliopsida; Fabales; Fabaceae. The record is from RNAcentral.
UCAAACUCUAUAAAUUCUCCUUCCCUCUCUCAAAUUCGGUUUCUGCUUCCUCUCUUCAAUUCCUUCACCAAACUCCAUAGUCUUCACCUUCUAUCACCGUAACCGUAACCUUCACUUUCUUCUCCAAUCUUCAACAUCAAGAACCACCACUUCAACUUCCUCUUCCCAACCGAGAUUCUUCUUCUUCAACCAAAACUUCACUCCAUCAUCUUCAACCAUCAUCAACCAACCUUCAAACCACCAUCAACUCCACCACUUCUCACAACCCUCAACCGUUCUAACAACCAUGACUUCACAAUCGCUUCAACCAACCACCAUUGAACAUCAACCUUCAUAACUUCCAUUCAUUCACCAAGACCUUCUCUCAACUCUGAACCAUUCGAACCUCUUAAGAACCACUGCUUCCAAAACCCCCUCGCUCUCUCAUCAACCCUGCAAUUAACUACAACAAAAUCACAAAAAGCAAAACCUCUCAGAAUUCACAUAAAAAAAACCUUCCAUCCUGCAACCUCCUGGAAGAACCACAAGAACACAAAGAAACAAAAAAGAGAAUAGGAGAACAAAAAAAGAAAACUCACAAUCCGAAGGAAUUCUAACAAACUUCACAAUCACGAUCUGGAAUCGUCUUCAACCAGAACCGUAACCGAAACCGUGAGCUCCACCUUCAUCAAACCUUCACCAAACCUUCACCUACACCACACUCCAAUCGUCAACAACCGAAACCGUUUUUUCAAUUCUUACUCCACUGAAAUCAGAGAAAAGAGAGGAGCGUACCAAUUCGCAACGGUGCGGUCACGACGAAAUCGCAGUCAGAAAUCACAAACUCCUCCAAUCCUUCAGCCUCAACCUUCAACCACUGCGAAUCCAUCCAAGAACUCCUCUUCAUCAUAACCGCUACCAACCAUAACCUGUAACGGAAUGCCUGAUUGAACCUCAACACUUCACCAUAACUGAA